CCUACGGGAGGCAGCAGUGAGGAAUAUUGGUCAAUGGACGAGAGUCUGAACCAGCAAAGUAGCGUGAAGGAUGACUGCCCUCUGGGUUGUAAACUUCUUUUAUAUGGGAAUAAAAUGUUCCACGUGUGGGAUUUUGUAUGUACCAUAUGAAUAAGGAUCGGCUAACUCCGUGCCAGCAGCCGCGGUUAUACGGAGGAUCCGAGCGUUAUCCGGAUUUAUUGGGUUUAAUGGGAGCGUAGGUGGAUUGUUAAGUCAGUGGUGAAAGUUUGCGGCUCAACCGUAAAAUUGCAGUUGCAACUGGCAGUCUUGAGUACAGUAGAGGUGGGCGGAAUUCGUGGUGUAGCGGUGAAAUGCUUAGAUAUCACGAAGAAAUCCGAUUGCGAAGGCAGUUCACUGGACUUCAACUGACACUGAGGCUCGAAAGUGUGGGUAUCAAACAGGAUUAGAUACCCUUGUAGU
RNAcentral lists this ribosomal RNA (459 nucleotides) under uncultured bacterium. RNAcentral's name for it is "partial 16S ribosomal RNA". It matches the Rfam family "Bacterial small subunit ribosomal RNA", at positions 338 to 794 of the family's 1533-position model. The record is from RNAcentral.